RNAcentral lists this ribosomal RNA (274 nucleotides) under uncultured bacterium. RNAcentral's name for it is "partial 16S ribosomal RNA". It matches the Rfam family "Bacterial small subunit ribosomal RNA", at positions 523 to 796 of the family's 1533-position model. The record is from RNAcentral.
AUACGGAGGGUGCAAGCGUUACUCGGAAUCACUGGGCGUAAAGCGCGCGCAGGCGGCUAUUUAAGUUGGAUGUGAAAGCCUACGGCUCAACCGUAGAACUGCAUCCAAAACUAUUUAGCUAGAGUGUGGGAGAGGAAGAUGGAAUUAGUUGUGUAGGGGUAAAAUCCGUAGAGAUAACUAGGAAUGCCAAAAGCGAAGGCAAUCUUCUGGAACACUACUGACGCUGAGGUGCGAAAGCGUGGGGAGCAAACAGGAUUAGAAACCCCUGUAGUCC